CUUUACUGUAACUUGAAAUUGAAAUUGGACUUUAUUCGCGCAGUAUAGGUGGAAGGCGUUGAAAGUAAUCUUGCGGGAUUAGUGGAGCCAUCAGUGAGAUACCACUCCUAUAAUGUUAGAUUUCUAACUUUGGAUCAUGAUCUGGUCAAAGAACAGUUUCAGGCGGGCAGUUUGACUGGGGCGGUCGCCUCCCAAAUGGUAACGGAGGCGUACAAAGGUUUCCUCUGAACGGGUAGAAAUCGUAUCUAGAGUGUAAAGGCAUAAGGAAGCUUGACUGUGAGACCUACAAGUCGAGCAGGGACGAAAGUCGGUCUUAGUGAUCUGACGGUGCUGAGUGGAAAGGCCGUCACUCAACGGAUAAAAGUUA
RNAcentral lists this ribosomal RNA (367 nucleotides) under uncultured organism. RNAcentral's name for it is "bacterial LSU rRNA". It matches the Rfam family "Bacterial large subunit ribosomal RNA", at positions 2099 to 2465 of the family's 2925-position model. The record is from RNAcentral.